GAAUCUUUGAACGCACCUUGCGCCCUUUGGCUUUUCCGAAGGGCAUGCCUGUUUGAGUAUCGUGAACACCUCAACUCUCACGGUUUUCUGUGAUGAGCUUGGAAUUUGGGGGUUUUGUCGGCCGUGCGGUCGGCUCCCCUUAAACGAAUCAGCUUUCCAGUGUUUGGUGGCGUCACGGGUGUGAUAACUAUCUACGCUUGUGGUUGUCUGCCAGUAACCUUUGGAGACAAAGGUUCGCUGGGGCUUAUAAACGUCUCUCCUCAGCGGAGACAGCUCUUUGAACGUUCGAUCUCAAAUCAGGUAGGAUUACCCGCUGAACUUAAGCAUAA
This 329-nucleotide ribosomal RNA is filed under the name uncultured Tomentella. Its description in RNAcentral is "eukaryotic LSU rRNA". The stretch from base 1 to 62 matches the Rfam family "5.8S ribosomal RNA", at positions 94 to 154 of the family's 154-position model. The record is from RNAcentral. Lineage: Eukaryota; Fungi; Basidiomycota; Agaricomycetes; Thelephorales; Thelephoraceae.